Populus euphratica (Euphrates poplar) is the source of this 679-nucleotide long non-coding RNA. RefSeq lists it as uncharacterized. Lineage: Eukaryota; Viridiplantae; Streptophyta; Magnoliopsida; Malpighiales; Salicaceae. The record is from RefSeq and is a predicted model, not a curated record. The transcript is spliced from 3 exons.
UACAAAGGGAAAAAAAUAGCAACCGCGACCUGGAGGAAGGGAGAGACGGGAGGAGAUUAAAAUUAUCGACCUUGACUGAGUAUGGAAAGGAGCAGGACAUGGGAAUCGAAGCAUUGGAAGCCAUGCUUAUGGAUGAUGAAUUUAGAGGUGCUCUUCCCUUUUUUUCUUUUUGAUUUUUUCAAAGUAAACAAACCAGUGAUAUGCAAUGGCAGAAAUUCAUUCUAGCGAGAAUGGCCUUAAUACUUCUAACCAUCGCUUCAACAUAUCAAUAUCUCCGCAGGUUAGGUUGGCUGGCUGUUCGAUCAUCAUGGUGCUGUGUUUUUUUCUCUUCCCCGGAGUUUGGUCCUGUUCUUAUGCUCUGCUCCUUUAGUUGUGCUGUUUUGGAUUCUUAGCUCGAUCAGUUUUAUUUUCAGUGGGGAAAAAGGUGAACAGGAAACUGUGAAUUCUAUCUAGAUCUGUGUAUGCUUUGCUGUGUAUGCUCAAUCUCCGUAAAUUAUUAUUUUAUCUGCUAAAGUUUGCCAUGGAAUUCGAUUCCAACAUGGCAUCAUAAUUGAUAGCAGCCAGCAAAACUUCGGCCUCUUAACACGUUUAUUUUCUAACAAGAUCGGUGAGGAGUGAUCAGAGUGAAUUUUGGGCUUUUGAGUGAGAAUUCUAUGUUUUUUUUUUUUUUUUGUGGUUG